UUGCAGCGGUUACAGAGUGCAGUGCUGCAGCUCUCACUCAUUUCCAGCGAGCUUCCAAGCAGGUGCUGGGAGGACAAUUGUCCUUUACAGAACCUCUUGCUUUGUAGGAGGUCACUUACAGGAAUUUGUCCAGCAAACAGGGUCACAUCUGAAGCAGAUUCCUUGUUUGUUCAGCCAUUGUUUGGAUCCCCUGUUUGUUCCCAAGGUACUUAGCUCGUAACACUCAGGUCUUGGUCUGGGCACUGUCUCCUCUUAGCUUGAAUAAAACAGAAUACAUUAGUAAGCCUUCUGAUGCCUUUAGCUUACAUCAGUUUUCUGGGAAACACGGUCAGAAAGCUUGGAAUGACUACAGCUAUAACAUCCUUACACAACACCCUCGCUGCUUAGAACCACAGGCGCUUCAUACACUACAUUCCAGGUCAACACAAAACAGGGGUCUUCCCAAACCAUUUAUUCGCUUAGCCUUUAAAAACAUUCGCAUUUUCCAGCUUACACCACACCAGGGAGCCCACUGCUAAAUGACUAAGCAGUACCACGAGCCAGAGAGCUGGCAUCGCCCCACUGCCGUCCCUUGCACCGCUGGGUGCCGGCCCUCGCACCCACCCCGUGCCAGCCAUGACCCCGGCUCGCUUUGGGGCUUUCCCAGCUGCUCUGGCCGUAGCGGAGCUCCAGCUGUGCUGUGACUUAGCUGUGAGCCAGGGGAGUGGAGCCGGGAGACUUGGUCAUUUUUCUAUGGAAGCGCAGGGUACGAUGACUUCCCAGCUAUCUCUACAGGCACAUGAGGUCAGCGGGACGUGCGCUGGGUGGCCGGCGUGCUGCUGCUCUCAGGCUCGCGGGCUGCAGGGUGUUCUCGACUCCAAAGCGUAGGUUAAGGUUCGGAGAGGUCAGCCCAGCCUCAGUGACACACUCUGAUGUGAUGUGAUCAGGGAAUCGAGCAGAUUCCCCGAUGCUGGGUUCUAUUUCUGUCCCUACUUCCUUCCGCAAUGCUGGAGGUUCGUAGGUGUUAUUGGACUUUGCUUGUCCUUCCCAGAAGCAAACCGAGGAGUGUUUAGUUGGGGAACUCAGCAGAUAAGAAUAGCCCGUGUGCAUUCCCCACUUCGCAACUCUGAGCCUCAAGGAACAGAUCCGACCUGACGAGAGCAAAAACAAAUUCUUCCUCCCCUCGGUUUCAUGUUGGGCCCUGAGAGUGACACCGACGCACCAGCCUCCGAGCCCGUGACUCAGCACCUCUUCUCCGAGAUCCCCUGCCCUCUGAUACAGCAGCAGCACUCAUCCACUUAUUAAGUCUCUCCCAGGCUGGGGGCAUGGAAUAUCUUGUCAUCCUGCCUCUUCUCAUGGCACAGAGAUGAGCUGUCAAAAUUUCCACUGCUCUGACAACGUGGGUGCGGACAUGGGAGCGCUUCAUCCUUCUGCGGACGAGGCUGUUGGCGCUCGGUGCUUUCAGCCCAGUUGUUGUCCUCCCCCUGCCACAGGUGCCCAGCUUCCUUUGCUCCCUCUGCAGGAGGUGAAAUCCAGUGCAAAGGCUUGCUGACAAAAGCGUGAUGUCCGUUGGAGGUGGGUGUUGCACACAACCUCAAAUACGAGACCUAAAACCGAGCCUUGUUCAGUGUCAGGGAAGCACGGUCCUUCACCAGGGCAGGAUAACCCCUGGCUGUUGCCCGGGCACAAAAGCACCUCUCAAUGAGCAAUGGGUUUUGGUCACGAAACAGGGGCACCCCAUAAAUCCCAGAGAGAAAUACAGGGGCUGCUGGUGUGCUCCUCUGAAUGCUACUGCUUAAACGGGGAGGCAGCGAGGAGGUGCUCCUUGUACAUCUUGUUCCUGGCAACAAAUUCCUUACUCCCCUUUAUAGCACCCAUUCUUUUGGGGAGCCUGUGACACAAAAAAAUAUUGCUUAAGGAAAGCUGCAGAAGCAGCAGUGCCGGGUUAGCUGACUUCUGAGGACUUGGAGGAGUUCUUGGCUGGGAACUGAACCAGAGCACAGGGAACCCUGCAGGUUUCUGCUUCAGGAAAACACUGAAGGACCCACUGAAACUUACGGUGAUUGCAGUUUGUCCUUGGAGCAGUCCUUACAGUAUAUACUGAAACAGACUUCUUAAGGCUACGCUGGAACAAAGUGGAAUUAGUGCCUCCAAACAAAAGGCAGGCCACAAAAAAUGGUCAAAGGGCUAGAGCCCUCUGCAGAGAAGGCUCCGGGGUGACCUGACAGGGGCCUGCCAGGGCCUGAAGGGGCUGCAGGAGGGCUGGGAGAAGGCUUUUUAUCGGGGAGUGUAAUGAUAGGACAAGGGGUAGCAGUUAAAUCAAGAGGGCAGCUUUGGAUGAGGUACAAGGAAGAGAUUCUUCCCUCUGAGGAUGGCAAGGCCCUGGCCCAGGCUGCCCCGAGGAGCUGGGGCUGCUGGGAGGGGUCGUGCCCAUGGCAGGAGCAGGAGCUGGGUGGGCUCUAAGGCCCCUGCCAGCCCAAACCGAUCUGUGGCUCUGUAAAACAUGUAGCCUGCCAUCCCUCUGGGUGAAGGAGGCAUGCUUGGUGCGCUGGAGCUUCCACUCACAGCGCUGGGACGUCCCCUGGCAGAGCAGCAGCACUGCAGCACCCGUGUAGCCGCUUGCUUUGCCCGAAAAUCAGACACCAGGCAAGUCUGCAAGGAACUGCAGGAACCAUAGGAAGCAGCAGGAGGGGGCUGGAGGGAGAUGUGCAAGCCUUACGCUCCUGAAUGGCUUUGGAAAGCCAGUGCCAUCUAUGGCCAUGCACCAAGCGAUGGCAUUACUCACGAGCUAGGAGUGUUAGUAAGGUCACAUGUUCUUCCAGCAAGGAUUUUGUUUUAAGGAAAGGAUUUUUCCAACCUGUGACUUCUGGAGCAGAUACAUCUGCUGCCUCAUCUUCACAAUUACUUGUUGGUAGCAUGUGCAGACUUGGUUGUGGGAAAGGGGAGACCGCUGCAAAGGCGUCGGUUCCUACUGUGCUCCUGACAUCCUUGAAAAAAGAUGUGGGAAACGUGUUCAGAAUCAGCAGCCUUCAGCUUUGAGGAAAGACAGCAUAACUGACUAGGAAUGAGGAGAUUCCUUCUAAGCCCAGAAAGUGUUUUGUUUUUUUUUUGUUUAAGAAUAAAUGUCAGGCAAAAUAAAUGUCAGGCAGAAUUCCACAAUUGAGUAAGUCAUUGCAAAUCCUCCUCAUUUUUGUCUGAUAAGAACCUAGCUUACGGAAGAAAUGUGGGUCACUUUUUCCCCAGUGACGUUGCAAACUGCGCUGUCUGUCCAAGUUCAGUGCGCCAGUCCUCAGUCAUUUUCCUACAUGAGAUUCCAGUUACUUUAAUAUCGAGUUGCUUGCAUCAGAAAAUAUAAUUUGCAUUCGCUUCUGAGGUAAGGAGUGUCAUGGGUGAAGGCUCUCGCAAUUAGAUUUAAGCUGUGCAGAUGAAACGGUAUGAAAGCAGGCAUUACUGACGGCUGGGGCUACGUUCUUGUGAACUUGUUUUGGAUACAAAAAAAAAAAAAAAGCCUAAGAACGUCUACAGAAAGUAAUGGAAAGCCCCCAGCAGCUGUCACGGAAGCUGGUUUUACCAGAGGAGCAGUAAAACAACUCUGACGUAUUUGAGAAGCACAAGAAGCAAAACUGAGGGGCGAUGCUGCAGGAAAUGCCUGAGGUCCGGCAAACAAAGCAACAUGUAUGUUAUAUACCAGGAAUGUCUCGCUUGGGAUUUCCAACUUCAACAGAUCCCUUUAGAAGUUCCCUCCUUGAAUAAUGCUUCCCAGCAGCGAAGUCCCAUGAUCCUGAUUCAGCAAGUGAAAUGCCUAAACAAAGUCAGAACCUUUUAGGAACUUUGAUCCAGGAUUUUAGCCAAGGACUGUUUUAACUGUAAACCCACAAUGGGGGGUUAUAAACAACUACACAAACCUCACAGUUAUUUACAAGCACAUUCUUCUGGAACUCAGGACUAACCCAGCAGUCUCAUGUCCAUCUAAAACAUCAUUGCCAAGGAGAAGCAAACUUCCAGACUCAUAAAAAAAAUCCUUUUGUUUGAGAUCACUAUCUGUAAUGUGUAAAGGCUGAUCCUUACCUUAGCUGGUGGACGUGCUAGACGUGUACAAGUGAUGUUAUAGAACAUGUCAGCAGUACAGAAGUAGAUCAUCAGGAAGAAAAGACAAUAGCUAGAUUAGAAAUAAAACAGCUCUGGAGCACUCGGAAGGAUAUUAAGUCCACUCCAGUAUUAUAGGCUGAUUUCAGCUUAGCAAAGAGUAGCAAAUAUGGCCAGGGGCACGUACCCCCCCAUAAAUGUCUUUGUGUUGCUUCUGCAAUGUGCUCUGUAAUAGCUGGUACUGGCCAGAGCCUUAAAUAAAAUGAUGGAUUUAGCUUGAA
This is a long non-coding RNA of Cygnus atratus (black swan), 4346 nucleotides long. RefSeq lists it as uncharacterized. The record is from RefSeq and is a predicted model, not a curated record. Lineage: Eukaryota; Metazoa; Chordata; Aves; Anseriformes; Anatidae. The transcript is spliced from 2 exons.